UAGGGAAUCUUCCGCAAUGGACGCAAGUCUGACGGAGCAACGCCGCGUGAGUGAAGAAGGAUUUCGGUUCGUAAAACUCUGUUGUUAGAGAAGAACAGCGCAUAGAGUAACUGUUAUGCGUGUGACGGUAUCUAACCAGAAAGCCACGGCUAACUACGUGCCAGCAGCCGCGGUAAUACGUAGGUGGCAAGCGUUGUCCGGAUUUAUUGGGCGUAAAGCGAGCGCAGGCGGUCAAUUAAGUCUGAUGUGGAAGCCCCCGGCUCAACCGGGGAGGGUCAUUGGAAACUGGUUGACUGAGGUGCAGAAGAGGCGGGUGGAAUUCCAUGUGUAGCGGUAAAAUGCGUAGAUAUAUGGAGGAACACCAGUGGCGAAGGCGACUCUCUGGUCUGUAACUGACGCUGAGGCUCGAAAGCGUGGGUAGCAAACAGG
This 429-nucleotide ribosomal RNA is filed under the name Bacteroidota bacterium. RNAcentral's name for it is "Bacteroidetes bacterium partial 16S ribosomal RNA". It matches the Rfam family "Bacterial small subunit ribosomal RNA", at positions 355 to 776 of the family's 1533-position model. The record is from RNAcentral. Lineage: Bacteria; Pseudomonadati; Bacteroidota.